RNAcentral lists this ribosomal RNA (443 nucleotides) under Hymenobacter sp. Its description in RNAcentral is "bacterial SSU rRNA". It matches the Rfam family "Bacterial small subunit ribosomal RNA", at positions 24 to 472 of the family's 1533-position model. The record is from RNAcentral. Lineage: Bacteria; Pseudomonadati; Bacteroidota; Cytophagia; Cytophagales; Hymenobacteraceae.
UCAGGAUGAACGCUAGCGGCAGGCCUAAUACAUGCAAGUCGAACGGUUUCCAGCAAUGGAGAUAGUGGCGCACGGGUGCGUAACGCGUAACCAACCUACCCGAAUCUGGGGGAUAGCCCGCCGAAAGGCGGAUUAAUACCGCAUAAGACUAUGAGCCGGCAUCGGAUGGUAGUUAAAGAUUUAUUGGAUUCGGAUGGGGUUGCGUGCCAUUAGCUAGUUGGGGGGGUAACGGCCCACCAAGGCGACGAUGGCUAGGGGAGCUGAGAGGCUGGUCCCCCACACGGGCACUGAGAUACGGGCCCGACUCCUACGGGAGGCAGCAGUAGGGAAUAUUGGGCAAUGGAGGAGACUCUGACCCAGCCAUGCCGCGUGCCGGAUGAAGGCCUUCUGGGUCGUAAACGGCUUUUUUCCGGGAAGAACCGGUUCCUUGCGAGGGGCUCUGA